Molecule: ribosomal RNA, 492 nt
Filed under: uncultured bacterium
Lineage: Bacteria
Description: partial 16S ribosomal RNA
Rfam family: Bacterial small subunit ribosomal RNA
Source: RNAcentral
AGUGAACGCUGGCGGUAGGCCUAACACAUGCAAGUCGAACGGCAGCACAGUAAGAGCUUGCUCUUACGAGUGGCGAGUGGCGGACGGGUGAGGAAUACAUCGGAAUCUACUUUUUCGUGGGGGAUAACGUAGGGAAACUUACGCUAAUACCGCAUACGACCUACGGGUGAAAGCAGGGGAUCUUCGGACCUUGCGCGAUUGACUGAGCCGAUGUCGGUUUAGCUAGUUGGCGGGGUAAAGGCCCACCAAGGCGACGAUCCAUAGCUGGUCUGAGAGGAUGAUCAGCCACACUGGAACUGAGACACGGUCCAGACUCCUACGGGAGGCAGCAGUGGGGAAUAUUGGACAAUGGGCGCAAGCCUGAUCCAGCCAUACCGCGUGGGUGAAGAAGGCCUUCGGGUUGUAAAGCCCUUUUGUUGGGAAAGAAAAGCAGCAGGUUAAUACCCCGCUGUUCUGACGGUACCCAAAGAAUAAGCACCGGCUAACUUCGUG